UCCUGGUUAACCCAGGCAGUCUCACUAGAGUUCCCACCUUCACGUGUUGGCAACUAAUGAUAAGGGUUGCGCUCGUUGCUGGACUUAACCAAACACCUCACGGCACGAGCUGACGACAGCCAUGCAGCACCUGUGCAGCGGCUCCGAAGAGAGACGGCAUUUCUGCCGUUGUCCACUGCAUGUCAAGCCUGGGUAAGGUUCUUCGCGUUGCAUCGAAUUAAACCACAUGCUCCACUGCUUGUGCGGGUCCCCGUCAAUUCUUUUGAGUUUCACCCUUGCGAGCGUACUCCCCAGGCGGUAUACUUAUCGCGUUAGCUACGGCACAACCGGGGUUGAGUCCAGUUACACCAAGUAUACAUCGUUUACGGUAAGGACUAC
Molecule: unclassified non-coding RNA, 378 nt
Filed under: uncultured Parachlamydiaceae bacterium
Lineage: Bacteria; Pseudomonadati; Chlamydiota; Chlamydiia; Parachlamydiales; Parachlamydiaceae
Description: contains 16S-23S intergenic spacer region
Source: RNAcentral